AUUGAACGCUGGCGGAAUGCUUUACACAUGCAAGUCGAGCGGGCAGCGCGGGGGCAACCCUGGCGGCGAGCGGCGAACGGGUGAGUAACAUAUCGGAACGUACCCAGUCGUGGGGGAUAACUAUCCGAAAGGAUAGCUAAUACCGCAUAUGCCCUGAGGGGGAAAGCGGGGGAUUCGCAAGAACCUCGCGUUUUCGGAGCGGCCGAUAUCGGAUUAGCUAGUAGGUGAGGUAAAGGCUCACCUAGGCGACGAUCCGUAGCUGGUCUGAGAGGACGACCCGCCACACUGGAACUGAGACACGGUCCAGACUCCUACGGGAGGCAGCAGUGGGGAAUUUUGGACAAUGGGGGCAACCCUGAUCCAGCCAUUCCGCGUGAGUGAAGAAGGCC
Molecule: ribosomal RNA, 389 nt
Filed under: uncultured bacterium
Lineage: Bacteria
Description: bacterial SSU rRNA
Rfam family: Bacterial small subunit ribosomal RNA
Source: RNAcentral